GNARUAUGCAAGUCGAACGCUGAAGCUCCAGCUUGCUGGGGUGGAUGAGUGGCGAACGGGUGAGUAACACGUGAGUAACCUUCCCUUGACUCUGGGAUAAGCCCGGGAAACUGGGUCUAAUACCGGAUAUGACCUCCUGUCGCAUGGUGGGGGGUGGAAAGAUUUAUCGGUCUUGGAUGGACUCGCGGCCUAUCAGCUUGUUGGUGAGGUAAUGGCUCACCAAGGCGACGACGGGUAGCCGGCCUGAGAGGGUGACCGGCCACACUGGGACUGAGACACGGCCCAGACUCCUACGGGAGGCAGCAGUGGGGAAUAUUGCACAAUGGGCGCAAGCCUGAUGCAGCGACGCCGCGUGAGGGAUGACGGCCUUCGGGUUGUAAACCUCUUUCAGUAGGGAAGAAGCCUUCGGGUGACGGUACCUGCAGAAGAAGCGCCGGCUAACUACGUGCCAGCAGCCGCGGUAAUACGUAGGGCGCGAGCGUUAUCCGGAAUUAUUGGGCGUAAAGAGCUCGUAGGCGGUUUGUCGCGUCUGCCGUGAAAGUCCGGGGCUUAACCCCGGAUCUGCGGUGGGUACGGGCAGACUAGAGUGCAGUAGGGGAGACCGGAAUUCCUGGUGUAGCGGUGAAAUGCGCAGAUAUCAGGAGGAACACCGAUGGCGAAGGCAGGUCUCUGGGCUGUUACUGACGCUGAGGAGCGAAAGCAUGGGGAGCGAACAGGAUUAGAUACCCUGGUAGUCCAUGCCGUAAACGUUGGGCACUAGGUGUGGGGGACAUUCCACGUUUUCCGCGCCGCAGCUAACGCAUUAAGUGCCCCGCCUGGGGAGUACGGCCGCAAGGCUAAAACUCAAAGGAAUUGACGGGGGCCCGCACAAGCGGCGGAGCAUGCGGAUUAAUUCGAUGCAACGCGAAGAACCUUACCAAGGCUUGACAUGUUCUCGAUCGCCACAGAGAUGUGGUUUCCCCUUUGGGGCGGGUUCACAGGUGGUGCAUGGUUGUCGUCAGCUCGUGUCGUGAGAUGUUGGGUUAAGUCCCGCAACGAGCGCAACCCUCGUUCCAUGUUGCCAGCGGGUUAUGCCGGGGACUCAUGGGAGACUGCCGGGGUCAACUCGGAGGAAGGUGGGGACGACGUCAAAUCAUCAUGCCCCUUAUGUCUUGGGCUUCACGCAUGCUACAAUGGCCGGUACAAUGGGUUACGAUACUGUGAGGUGGAGCUAAUCCCAAAAAGCCGGUCUCAGUUCGGAUUGGGGUCUGCAACUCGACCCCAUGAAGUCGGAGUCGCUAGUAAUCGCAGAUCAGCAACGCUGCGGUGAAUACGUUCCCGGGCCUUGUACACACCGCCCGUCAAGUCACGAAAGUCGGUAACACCCGAAGCCGGUGGCCCAACCCUUG
RNAcentral lists this ribosomal RNA (1388 nucleotides) under Micrococcus sp. B-1004. Its description in RNAcentral is "bacterial SSU rRNA". It matches the Rfam family "Bacterial small subunit ribosomal RNA". The record is from RNAcentral. Lineage: Bacteria; Bacillati; Actinomycetota; Actinomycetes; Micrococcales; Micrococcaceae.